RNAcentral lists this ribosomal RNA (1497 nucleotides) under uncultured Pseudomonas sp. RNAcentral's name for it is "16S ribosomal RNA". It matches the Rfam family "Bacterial small subunit ribosomal RNA". Lineage: Bacteria; Pseudomonadati; Pseudomonadota; Gammaproteobacteria; Pseudomonadales; Pseudomonadaceae. The record is from RNAcentral.
GUUUGAUCAUGGCUCAGAUUGAACGCUGGCGGCAGGCCUAACACAUGCAAGUCGAGCGGAUGAAGGGAGCUUGCUCCUGGAUUCAGCGGCGGACGGGUGAGUAAUGCCUAGGAAUCUGCCUGGUAGUGGGGGAUAACGUCCGGAAACGGGCGCUAAUACCGCAUACGUCCUGAGGGAGAAAGUGGGGGAUCUUCGGACCUCACGCUAUCAGAUGAGCCUAGGUCGGAUUAGCUAGUUGGUGGGGUAAAGGCCUACCAAGGCGACGAUCCGUAACUGGUCUGAGAGGAUGAUCAGUCACACUGGAACUGAGACACGGUCCAGACUCCUACGGGAGGCAGCAGUGGGGAAUAUUGGACAAUGGGCGAAAGCCUGAUCCAGCCAUGCCGYGUGUGUGAAGAAGGUCUUCGGAUUGUAAAGYACUUUAAGUUGGGAGGAAGGGCAGUAAGUUAAUACCUUGCUGUUUUGACGUUACCAACAGAAUAAGCACCGGCUAACUUCGUGCCAGCAGCCGCGGUAAUACGAAGGGUGCAGGCGUUAAUCGGAAUUACUGGGCGUAAAGCGCGCGUAGGUGGUUCAGCAAGUUGUGUGAAAGUCCUGAGCUUAACUUGGGUUUGUCAUGUGAAACUGUUUUGCUAGAGUCUGGCAGAGGCGAGUGGAAUUUCCUGUGUAGCGGUGAAAUGCGCAGAUAUAGGAAAGAACACCAGUGGCGAAGGCGACUCGCUGGGUCAAGACUGACGCUGAGGUGCGAAAGCGUGGGUAGCAAACAGGAUUAGAUACCCUGGUAGUCCACGCCGUAAACGAUGAGAACUUGCUGUUGGGAUCCUUUGGGGUUUCAGUAGCGUAGCUAACGCGGUAAGUUCUCCGCCUGGGGAGUACGGUCGCAAGACUAAAACUCAAAGGAAUUGACGGGGACCCGCACAAGCGGUGGAGCAUGUGGUUUAAUUCGAUGCAACGCGAAGAACCUUACCUGGUCUUGACAUACUCGGAACUUUUCAGAAAUGAAUUGGUGCCUUCGGGAGCCGAGAUACAGGUGCUGCAUGGCUGUCGUCAGCUCGUGUCGUGAGAUGUUGGGUUAAGUCCCGCAACGAGCGCAACCCCUAUCAUUAGUUACCAGCACUUCGGGUGGGAACUCUAAUGAGACUGCCGGUGACAAACCGGGAGAAAGGGGGGGACAACGUCAAGUCAUCAUGGCCCUUAUGACCAGGGCUACACACGUGCUACAAUGGGGCAUACAAAGAGUCGCGAGACAGCAAUGUUUAGCUAAUCUCAUAAAGUGCUUCGUAGUCCGGAUUGCACUCUGCAACUCGAGUGCAUGAAGUCGGAAUCGCUAGUAAUCGCAGAUCAGAAUGCUGCGGUGAAUACGUUCCCGGGUCUUGUACACACCGCCCGUCACACCAUGGAAGUGGGUUGCACCAGAAGUCAAUAGCUUAACCUUCGGGAGAGCGUUGCCCACGGUGUGAUUCAUGACUGGGAUGAAGUCGUAACAAGGUAGCCGUA